CACAUGAAGCUGCAUUGCAAAAUGGAAUUGGAUGACUUUGCAGGAGAGGCAAACCAUUAUUACAGCAAGAACCCUCACCGGUGAGAUGAGCGUCUGGUACAACCUCGGAUACAGAACUUGGUUGGAGGAGGGGACGUCCUUUUGGAUUUUAUCCACGGCCUGCUAACUGCUACUUUCAGCCAUGGAGUCGAUGGAUCAGAAGAAAGAAGCUCUUGCUGUACAAGAAAAGCCUGACCUUGAAAAGAAGAGAAGAGAAGGGAAGCGGAAGCCUUGCUUCAAAGCAUGGCUUUAACUCCUGCUGCUCCUACGGAUGGAUCAGAGGAAAGAAGCUCUUGCUGUACAAGAAAAGCCUGACCUUGAAAAGAAGAGAAGGGAAGCAGAAGCCUUGCUUCAAAGCAUGGCUUUAACUCCUGCUGCUCCUAUGGGAUCCUGCAGGUGAGAAGAGGACUGUGUACGGCAGCGCAUCUUCUUUGUGUCACCAGCUUGUUUGACACCAGAGCGUGUGGCAUUUGAAGUCUGAACUCAGCUACCCCCUGGAAACCGUGCCGUGAGAUGUUUUCCACUCACCCCAAUCCAUUUUUUCAGCUACAGGAGGGUUGAAAGGACGCACGUUAUGUAGUCCUUUUCAUUGUUUCCAAGCCUACCAAUUCUCGAUACACUUCACUAAAUUUUGCAUUGGGCACCAUUUCCAAGGAGCAAGGCAGCAUGUAGACACUGUAAAGAAAUAAAAUGUUUCGUAGAGUGCCAGUGUAGUGUGGUGCUCAGAAUAUUGAGGAAGGCCCUGUGAAAGCAGGCUUAAAUUUCUGCCCUGGCUGGCCUUGGACUCUCUCAGCCUAACCUUCCUCACAGGGAUGUUUAGGUGACUAAAAUAUAUUGUGCUUCCCUGCAUUCCUUGGCCUUAUGCUCACAUAUCAGUACAUUUAUGUAGUACUCUAUGUUUAAUUACAAUUCUCAGAAACCCAAAAUUUCUGUGACGCCCUGACAUCUACAACCUGACAAAGACUUCUGUUUUGUUUUUAAGAAAUAUAAUAAAUCAUAGAGUGCCAGUGUAGUGCAGUGGUCAGAAUACUGAGGAAGAAUCUGGGAAAACAGGCUUAAAUUCCUGCUCUGCCCUGGCUGAUCUUGGACAGAUCCCACUCUCUCGGCCUAACUUACCUCACAGGAAUGAUGUGAUGAUAAAAAUAUACUGUACUUCCCUGCAUUUCCUGGCCUUACGCUAACAUGUUUGUACAUACGUGGUGCUCUUGUCAUGUUGCUGUUCUCUGUUUUUUGUAAAAUCUGUUCAAUUGAAUUCUAAGAAUCAGCUUUCCUCUUUAAAGAGUGAGCUGGCCUUGACACGAAAUGUGAACGAGUAUGGAACGAGUAUGUGAACAAGUCUCGCUACUGGCCUCAAACCCAGACUUUGCACGCUGGGUUUAUAGUGGUCUUUCAGAGCACUAAUUGAGUGAUGUUGGCCUUUAAAACCAGGUUUCUCCUUGAGAAACAAGCAUGUCUUGAUAACGGUCAGCGGGAUUGAUUUGAUGAAGAAAGCGCUUAUUAAACGCUAAACAUUUUGGCUUUAACUUAAUCUCUUUCUCCACAUAGAAACCACAUCUGAGGGUGUGAUAUGCUCCAGAGCGACAGCAGCCUCGUCGUGUGAUGCAGAUUAGUCCAAGGCUUCACUUUAUGCUUUCCACCGGCACAACAUCUCCCGAGUGAAACAGGCGCAAGUAGCGUAUAAUGUGGAUGGUGAUCCUUCAGGCAUUUCAUCCUUGUCAUUAGGACA
This is a long non-coding RNA of Eublepharis macularius, 1765 nucleotides long. RefSeq lists it as uncharacterized. The record is from RefSeq and is a predicted model, not a curated record. NCBI's taxonomy places the organism in Eukaryota, Metazoa, Chordata, Lepidosauria, Squamata, Eublepharidae. The transcript has 5 exons.